Molecule: long non-coding RNA, 1021 nt
Filed under: Nicotiana tabacum (common tobacco)
Lineage: Eukaryota; Viridiplantae; Streptophyta; Magnoliopsida; Solanales; Solanaceae
Description: long non-coding RNA (NTAB_LNC007950)
Source: RNAcentral
CAAUAUCUGCCGAGAUUUCUGUCACGAUCCUCGCCCGAUCACGGAUAUCUCGGCUUUAUUUUAUCCAUUGUAGCAGGCUUCCUUUCAUCUUGCUCGAUCUCUUUCUUACUUUGUUCUCGAUCAUGGUUGUUCUUGAUCUUGAUCGGCCAUUGAUCCACGAGCUUAUCAAUCCAUCUCCGUAACUCGUUCCGAUAUAACUGGGUCGGGCCUUAAUCUUCCGUCCCGACUUUGGUUAGUCGUACAAAAUUAGGCAAGCCCGAUUUUGACAGUAUACAAACGUGGUCCACCUUAUUUCUAUUUUCCACCUAUAAUUAAUUACAUCUUUGUUCAAUCCGAGAAGUGCUCUUCUCUUCUUCCUGCUCCUGAUCCCUUACGCAUUACAUAAUGACUGCAUUCACAAAAUCAAUCGGUAAAAUCUUUUGAAAAUAUAGUAAUAAAAAUAUCUAAAUGAAGUAGAUAUCUUACUAACCUUAAUUAUAGGUGGACAUUUUGGUGGUACCACAGUCAGCACAUGUCUUGAGUUGGCUUUGGCUGUUUUCUCUUUCUGUUUGGCUCAUCAUAUCCUUAGAUCCCGAAUCCUAUACCAAAAAUGAAUCAAUCCAAAUCAGAUAUUAGUAAAGUAUGAUCAAAGGUAAAAUGGUUCAAUGGUGGAUCUUCAUCACUCACUUUAUCACUUAGAUCCAUCACUUUGAUCAACUAAUUAACUAGAAAGACCUGAUAAAAAUUGAUCCAAGUGAAAAGAACAUCCAACAGAACAACGCUGCCCUCAAACAAGUCCCUCUUCUCCACCCCAAAAUGACCUCAAAAUAGUCUUGAAGACACCGUAAACUACCCACUAACACCACCUGAAAAAACCUCUAAAACCAGCUGAAAAACUAACGGCAAAAACAAAAAGACGUCUCAAGCCCAUGCACUCGCCCCUACUCUCCUUAUUCUGUCCUUCUACCUUCAGUGAAGUAAAGGCUUCAGAAUAAGCCCAAUUUACAUCAACCGAGGUAAGCUCGUUACUUUUCAGUAGUAU